This 466-nucleotide ribosomal RNA is filed under the name uncultured bacterium. RNAcentral's name for it is "partial 16S ribosomal RNA". It matches the Rfam family "Bacterial small subunit ribosomal RNA", at positions 28 to 507 of the family's 1533-position model. The record is from RNAcentral.
GACGAACGCUGGCGGCGUGCUUAACACAUGCAAGUCGAACGGAAAGGCCCAGCUUGCUGGGUACUCGAGUGGCGAACGGGUGAGUAACACGUGGGUGAUCUGCCCUGCACUCUGGGAUAAGCCUGGGAAACUGGGUCUAAUACCGGAUAUGACCAACUGUCGCAUGGUGGUUGGUGGAGAGCUUUUGCGGUGUGGGAUGGGCACGCGGCGUAUCAGCUUGUUGGUGGGGUAUUGGCCUACCAAGGCGACGACGGGUAGCCGACCUGAGAGGGUGAUCGGCCACACUGGGACUGAGACACGGCCCAGACUCCUACGGGAGGCAGCAGUGGGGAAUAUUGCACAAUGGGCGCAAGCCUGAUGCAGCGACGCCGCGUGAGGGAUGACGGCCUUCGGGUUGUAAACCUCUUUCACCAGGGACGAAGCGUGAGUGACGGUACCUGGAGAAGAAGCACCGGCCAACUACGUG